GCCAAACAGCUGUGUAUUUAGGAAAGCACCUGUUAUUGUGUGGAUGGGAAGUCUCUUCUGAGACUUGAGUUUGAAGACCUGGACCCCAGCUGGUAGUGCUAUUUUGGGAAGUUCUGGAAACUUUAGGAGACAAAGCUGGAAGAAAUAAUGUCAUUAGGCAUCUGUACUUAGGGUCUGUAUCUUGUUCUGGAUUCCUCUAUGUCUCUCUGUCUACUUCCUGCCCACCAAAGCUGAGUAGUUUCUGUCUCAUGCUCUGUUAUUUACUUUGGUGUUGGAUUGUAUGUUUGAUUGUUUAUUUUGAGACAGAGCCCUUUCCAUUGCUCUUCAUGCUGUUGCUCCUCUCUGUAACAAAUGUCAUCUGGGGAAUACUCAGUUACAAUUCUAUUAUCUAUCCAAGAACUCACCAGCCUAUUCUGUUCUGUAUAGGAAAUAAAAUGAUGACUGAGAAAUACACAGUAUUUGCCUCUCAAGAGCAUCCAGGGACUUCAUCCAGUAGAGAUAAUGGGCUGUUUUCAAGCAGAAAAGCUGUUCAUGAAGGCAGGAAAGACUGAGAGAACAGACUUCUAUGCAGAAGAGGAAGCAGAAAGAUUUUAAGAGCCAGAAGUGGUGGGUGACUCCAGGAUGAUGGACAUAUGAACACGCAGUGAUUGUGACACCGUGCAGAAAACCUGCAGUUUCAAACCAGACAAAAUCCCAUUACUGAGAAGAAGGAAUGGACAUGAAGCCCUGCCCCCACUAACAAAGAAGGUAUUUGCAACAGAUACCUGCUGGAAAGGGGAGUCACCAGGGAUAUCAACUACACCCUAGGUCCAGGAGUAGUUAGUUGGCCAACACAAAACAGAGUAUGUGUUUUUGUUUAGUGUGUGCAUGAAUGCACUUUUUUUGUUUUAGUAUUUUUGUUGCUGUUGUUCUAUUGGAGGGUUUUUCCCUUUUUUGAUUUUUUUUUUUUGCAGGAGGUUAGGUAGUUGAGAGAGAAAAAAACAAAAGUUGGAGGGGUAGGAAGGUGCAGAGGAUCUGAAGUAGAUGGGGGAAAAUAAAUAUCAGAAAAAGAAAGAGAAAAGGAAUGUUUUAAUGAAUGUGAAAAAUAAAAUGUACUCAUGAAAUGCCGAGUUCACACCUUCAUCUACUUCAGGCUAUUCCCUCUUCACAGUCAAAAACUAUACCAAUAGUGUGGUGAGAAUUAUACCAGCCCUUUUUCUUUGUAUCCACAUUAAUAUACUGGUUUUAUAUCAACUCUUUCACAAGUAUGGUUCACCAUAGCUUCUCAUAGCAAAUAAACUUACUACCAUGUAUAUGUCUUCUUAAACUUUGCCUAUUGCUUUAAAGCUAAAAGAAUGAUCCACUAAGUGUAGGACAAAGAAUAGCAUGAAUACUGAGAGAUGCAGAAUGGGCAGAUGGCUGGCCUUUAUGCUCAAAAUACCCCACGAAUACAUGGGCAUACUUCAUGCCCAUGCCACACAAAACUUUUUAAAUUUAGCAGUGGAAGAAUAAGUACAGAAUUUUGGAUUUUGCUUUCUUUUUAUAGUAUUUCUGUUGCUAAUGAUAAAAACAAAACCACAGAGACAUAAUUUGAGGGGUACACAUUCUAUUACAUUUCUAUAUUUACUAGAUAGUUUGGAAGAAGGGUCUUAUUUCUUUGGGAGUUUAUUUUGGUAGUAGACUAUGAUUUUGAAAAGAUCUAAAGUUGAAAGCAACUACAGUCUAGAAACAGGAAGGGGGCAUAUAUUUUCGUGUUCUUCCCUUCACACUGUGUCUGCACAGGCCAAGGUGAUUGGUUCUUCCAGCCCACUCAAGCUGUGAAUAUCUUUACAUGUGGUAAGUCUUACCCUAGCGCCUUAGUAACAGGCCUUGAACAAAGUAUUUAAAGCUCUGAACAAGAUGGCAUCUUAGCGUAAUGAGGUUUACUACUUUCUAAAAAAAGAAGAAAAAAUGAAACACCUUUUGAAGCAACUGCCAGGGAACAAAAAAGGAUUUGUACUACACCAGAGAGAUUUUUGGUGUUCAGGGUAAAAAGAAAACUCUCAUUGAAAAGACUUCAGGGGAAUGUCUGUGAGAUUGGGAUCUUGUCAAGCACUUAGUUCAAAAGAAGUAAAAGACUGCAAAAGGGCAGAUAAUGAAAGAGGAAAGGGUGUAAGGACAAAGUUAAGCAAAAUUCUAUUUUAGACAUGGCAGCUUUCAAACAAUGGCCAUUAAUAUUAAUUAUGAUAGUCAGUAAGAUAUUAAUACUUGAUUUGAAGAUGGCCAUUAGCUUAUGAGCUAAAUUAGAGAUCAGAAAAUAACUAAAAUCACUUGCAACAGGCAAAACCCAAAAGUUAAAAAUCGGACUUUUUAAGAGUUAAGGACUAAUAAAGAAAAGGUAAUGAAUGUAUCCAUUCAUAUUUAAUGAAAGGCUGAGGAAACUUGUUAUCUUUUCCCAAG
RNAcentral lists this long non-coding RNA (2418 nucleotides) under Cricetulus griseus (Chinese hamster). RNAcentral describes it as "lncRNA (ENSCGRG00015034233.1)". The record is from RNAcentral. Lineage: Eukaryota; Metazoa; Chordata; Mammalia; Rodentia; Cricetidae.